AGUGAACGCUGGCGGUAGGCCUAACACAUGCAAGUCGAACGGCAGCACAGUAAGAGCUUGCUCUUACGGGUGGCGAGUGGCGGACGGGUGAGGAAUACAUCGGAAUCUACUUUUUCGUGGGGGAUAACGUAGGGAAACUUACGCUAAUACCGCAUACGACCUACGGGUGAAAGCAGGGGAUCUUCGGACCUUGCGCGAUUGAAUGAGCCGAUGUCGGAUUAGCUAGUUGGCGGGGUAACGGCCCACCAAGGCGACGAUCCGUAGCUGGUCUGAGAGGAUGAUCAGCCACACUGGAACUGAGACACGGUCCAGACUCCUACGGGAGGCAGCAGUGGGGACUAUUGGACAAUGGGCGCAAGCCUGAUCCAGCCAUACCGCGUGGGUGAAGAAGGCCUUCGGGUUGUAAAGCCCUUUUGUUGGGAAAGAAAAGCAGCAGGUUAAUACCCCGCUGUUCUGACGGUACCCAAAGAAUAAGCACCGGCUAACUUCGUG
Molecule: ribosomal RNA, 492 nt
Filed under: uncultured bacterium
Lineage: Bacteria
Description: partial 16S ribosomal RNA
Rfam family: Bacterial small subunit ribosomal RNA
Source: RNAcentral